AAUCCCCGCUGCCUCCUUGAAAGAGAGAUGUCCUGAACCGCUAGACGAUGGGGGCCUACUUGCCUAACCGCC
RNAcentral lists this transfer RNA (72 nucleotides) under Oncinotis tenuiloba. Its description in RNAcentral is "tRNA-Glu". Lineage: Eukaryota; Viridiplantae; Streptophyta; Magnoliopsida; Gentianales; Apocynaceae. The record is from RNAcentral.